GACGAACGCUGGCGGCGUGCUUAACACAUGCAAGUCGAGCGGUAAGGCCCUUUCGGGGUACACGAGCGGCGAACGGGUGAGUAACACGUGGGUGACCUGCCCUCAGCUCUGGGAUAAGCCUGGGAAACUGGGUCUAAUACUGGAUAUGACUCCACGGUGCAUGUCGUGGGGUGGAAAGCCUUGUGCGGCUGAGGAUGGGCCCGCGGCCUAUCAGCUUGUUGGUGGGGUGANGGCCUACCAAGGCGACGACGGGUAGCCGGCCUGAGAGGGCGACCGGCCACACUGGGACUGAGACACGGCCCAGACUCCUACGGGAGGCAGCAGUGGGGAAUCUUGCGCAAUGGGCGAAAGCCUGACGCAGCGACGCCGCGUGAGGGAUGACGGCCUU
Molecule: ribosomal RNA, 388 nt
Filed under: uncultured bacterium
Lineage: Bacteria
Description: bacterial SSU rRNA
Rfam family: Bacterial small subunit ribosomal RNA
Source: RNAcentral